RNAcentral lists this long non-coding RNA (234 nucleotides) under Elaeis guineensis (African oil palm). RNAcentral describes it as "long non-coding RNA (EGUI_LNC065574)". The record is from RNAcentral. Lineage: Eukaryota; Viridiplantae; Streptophyta; Magnoliopsida; Arecales; Arecaceae.
GUCUAGUCUAUGGUGCCAGAAGUACUUCUGGUUAAUUUCAUCUUUUGAUCUCUUUUGACCUACGGCUCUCACUAUUUGCUCAUUUAAGUUCACAUUCGCAUCAACAUGCAUGUAAUAUAGCUUGUCAAUUAAAAGAUCUCGUAACUAAUUUAUUUUGUAAAUAAAAAGAAUAAAAAUCUUUAUUGAAACUAAUUUCAAAAACUUUCUGUGCUAGCACAAACACGAAAAUCAAAU